CAGCAGCCACGGUAAUACGUAGGUGGCAAGCGUUGUCCGGAAUUAUUGGGCGUAAAGCGCGCGCAGGCGGAUAGGUCAGUCUGUCUUAAAAGUUCGGGGCUUAACCCCGUGAUGGGAUGGAAACUGCCAAUCUAGAGUAUCGGAGAGGAAAGUGGAAUUCCUAGUGUAGCGGUGAAAUGCGUAGAUAUUAGGAAGAACACCAGUGGCGAAGGCGACUUUCUGGACGAAAACUGACGCUGAGGCGCGAAAGCCAGGGGAGCGAACGGGAUUAGAUACCCGCGUAGUCCCUGUCUCUUAUACA
RNAcentral lists this ribosomal RNA (301 nucleotides) under uncultured bacterium. RNAcentral describes it as "partial 16S ribosomal RNA". It matches the Rfam family "Bacterial small subunit ribosomal RNA", at positions 509 to 809 of the family's 1533-position model. The record is from RNAcentral.